GGUUAGGUACUCGCAACGAGCGCAACCCCUAUCUUUAGUUGCCAUCAGUUCGGCUGGGCACUCUAUGGAGACUGCCACCUAAAGUGGAGGAAGGUGGGGAUGACGUCAAGUCAGCAUGGCCCUUACGUCCGGGGCUACACACGUGCUACAAUGGCCGGUACAAAGGGUUGCGAAGCCGUGAGGUGGAGCGAAUCUCAAAAAGCCGGCCUCAGUUCGGAUUGGAGGCUGCAACUCGCCUCCAUGAAGUCGGAAUCGCUAGUAACCGCAGAUCAGCUACGUUGCGGUGAAUACGUUCCCGGGCCUU
Molecule: ribosomal RNA, 304 nt
Filed under: uncultured Candidatus Sumerlaeota bacterium
Lineage: Bacteria; Candidatus Sumerlaeota
Description: bacterial SSU rRNA
Rfam family: Bacterial small subunit ribosomal RNA
Source: RNAcentral